GACGAACGCUGGCGGCGUGCUUAACACAUGCAAGUCGAACGAUGAUGCCCAGCUUGCUGGGUGGAUUAGUGGCGAACGGGUGAGUAACACGUGAGUAACCUGCCCCUGACUCUGGGAUAAGCGUUGGAAACGACGUCUAAUACUGGAUAUGAUCACUGGCCGCAUGGUCUGGUGGUGGAAAGAUUUUUUGGUUGGGGAUGGACUCGCGGCCUAUCAGCUUGUUGGUGAGGUAAUGGCUCACCAAGGCGACGACGGGUAGCCGGCCUGAGAGGGUGACCGGCCACACUGGGACUGAGACACGGCCCAGACUCCUACGGGAGGCAGCAGUGGGGAAUAUUGCACAAUGGGCGAAAGCCUGAUGCAGCAACGCCGCGUGAGGGAUGACGGCCUUCGGGUUGUAAACCUCUUUUAGUAGGGAAGAAGCGAAAGUGACGGUACCUGCAGAAAAAGCACCGGCUAACUACGUGCCAGCAGCCGCGGUAAUACGUAGGGUGCAAGCGUUGUCCGGAAUUAUUGGGCGUAAAGAGCUCGUAGGCGGUUUGUCGCGUCUGCUGUGAAAUCCCGAGGCUCAACCUCGGGCUUGCAGUGGGUACGGGCAGACUAGAGUGCGGUAGGGGAGAUUGGAAUUCCUGGUGUAGCGGUGGAAUGCGCAGAUAUCAGGAGGAACACCGAUGGCGAAGGCAGAUCUCUGGGCCGUAACUGACGCUGAGGAGCGAAAGCAUGGGGAGCGAACAGGAUUAGAUACCCUGGUAGUCCAUGCCGUAAACGUUGGGCGCUAGAUGUAGGGACCUUUCCACGGUUUCUGUGUCGUAGCUAACGCAUUAAGCGCCCCGCCUGGGGAGUACGGCCGCAAGGCUAAAACUCAAAGGAAUUGACGGGGGCCCGCACAAGCGGCGGAGCAUGCGGAUUAAUUCGAUGCAACGCGAAGAACCUUACCAAGGCUUGACAUACACCGGAAACGGCCAGAGAUGGUCGCCCCCUUGUGGUCGGUGUACAGGUGGUGCAUGGUUGUCGUCAGCUCGUGUCGUGAGAUGUUGGGUUAAGUCCCGCAACGAGCGCAACCCUCGUUCUAUGUUGCCAGCGGGUUAUGCCGGGGACUCAUAGGAGACUGCCGGGGUCAACUCGGAGGAAGGUGGGGAUGACGUCAAAUCAUCAUGCCCCUUAUGUCUUGGGCUUCACGCAUGCUACAAUGGCCGGUACAAAGGGCUGCGAUACCGUAAGGUGGAGCGAAUCCCAAAAAGCCGGUCUCAGUUCGGAUUGAGGUCUGCAACUCGACCUCAUGAAGUCGGGGUCGCUAGUAAUCGCAGAUCAGCAACGCUGCGGUGAAUACGUUCCCGGGCCU
This 1342-nucleotide ribosomal RNA is filed under the name uncultured bacterium. RNAcentral's name for it is "bacterial SSU rRNA". It matches the Rfam family "Bacterial small subunit ribosomal RNA", at positions 28 to 1381 of the family's 1533-position model. The record is from RNAcentral.